CUUCUGAGGCUGCUGCCAGUGGUCAAAGCCUCCAGCAAAGCUCUACUGAGCAGCUGUUCCCUCUCAGUUGAAGGAUGUUCAGCUCUGUCCUCAGCUCUCAGCUCUCCGUCCGCCAGACUGAAGGACCUGGACCUGAGAAUCCAGGACUCAGGCCUGAAGAAGCUGUGUGAUGGACUGGAAAACUGGAAACUGGAAACUCUCAGGCUGAGUGCGUGUGGUCUCUCAGAGACAAGCUGUGGACCUCUGUCCUCAGU
This is a long non-coding RNA of Melanotaenia boesemani (Boeseman's rainbowfish), 254 nucleotides long. RefSeq lists it as uncharacterized. The record is from RefSeq and is a predicted model, not a curated record. NCBI's taxonomy places the organism in Eukaryota, Metazoa, Chordata, Actinopteri, Atheriniformes, Melanotaeniidae. The transcript is spliced from 3 exons.